RNAcentral lists this ribosomal RNA (549 nucleotides) under Aspidelectra melolontha. RNAcentral's name for it is "partial 12S ribosomal RNA". The record is from RNAcentral. Lineage: Eukaryota; Metazoa; Bryozoa; Gymnolaemata; Cheilostomatida; Electridae.
AUCUACCCUUUAGAUCCGUGGUUAUUUUUGCUUAGAAUAAUUAAUAUUUUUAUAAUAGGUUCAAUGAUAGUAAAACUUAAUCUUUUCUAUUCUAAUUAAAGAAUCCACGAAACCCUUUUGUAAGACCAGGAUUAGAUACCCUGUUAUUAUAGGGCGUAAAUUGAAAGAUCUGGGCAUUACGAAACAUUUUUUUAAAACCCAAAGAGUUUGGCGGUCCUUAAAAAAAUCAGGGGGGCUUGGCGGUUAAUUUGAUAAUCCACAAUAAUCUUUACCUUCUCUUGAAAUUAUAAUAAUUUGUAUAUUCCCGUACAAGUUAACCCUAAAAGGAGUAAAAGUUAGCGUAAAAGAUUUUAUCUUUGAGGUCAGGCCUAAAUGCAAUUUAUGAGAAGGGCUUAGCUGAGUUACUAUAUAUUUUUAUUUUGAAUAUUUAUUUACAGAAAGUUAUAAAUGAAUAUAGUACUUGAUAGUAAAAUUUUUUUAAAAUGGAAAUUUGAAAUUUAAUUUAAGGGCGUACAAAUCGCCCGUCAAUCUUUCUGUUAAGAAAGAUAA